This 7897-nucleotide long non-coding RNA is filed under the name Taeniopygia guttata (zebra finch). RNAcentral describes it as "lncRNA (ENSTGUG00000028492.1)". The record is from RNAcentral. Lineage: Eukaryota; Metazoa; Chordata; Aves; Passeriformes; Estrildidae.
UUUUUUUUUUUUUUUUUUUUUUUUUACCUCAGCAAGGUAAUUCAUUAGAUAUUCGCUUGGGUAAAGAAUAAAUGAAUAUAGCAUGCAUUAUAUCCUCACUUUAGUUGCAGAAACAAAUCUUUCCUGUACCUGCCAAUGUAAUCUUCAGAUUUUUGUUAUAUAAAACACCUCAAGAAAAAUGCACCUUGGUAAGAUUUACACUUUAUUACUCUAAUGAUUCCACAAACACAGCCACAAUGUGAUGAAAGGCAAAGCAGUCCUGAUCUGAUUGAGAGCUAAUAAAAAUCAGUACUGAAAACUGAAAAUAGCACCCUUAUCAUCUUUCUUUCAUUUAGACCUGAUUACUAGGGGAUUAUAAUGCAAUCACAGCUAUGUGUGAGAGGUAGCUAUGGGAACCAGUUUUAACUGUUUAUCUAGCCAAAGAUCUUAAUUUAAGUUUGAACACUCUGAUUCAUUUAUAUGUAAGACACCAAGGAGACAAAAUGCAGAAGAAACAGAUGCUCACUUGUUCUUUCCAUUUAACUUCAUAAGCUACCAGCCAAUUUGUCUUUCAGGGACAAAAUUAAUUUUUGAUGACAAUGUGAGCAAGUAAUAAACUAGGAGUUCCUGUCCUGGGAAACUUGUUAAGGCCAUGUAAUGUUCUGGAGUUAUUUAGAAAAAACAAUUUGCUCAUAGACUUGCAGGGACAUCUGUAACAGAGUUUUCUUUGUCCCUGUGCUGUUACUCAUUUCUGGGGGCUUUAUGACACCUUUUCCAGAGUCUGAUUUGAAAAAGUUCAAAAGGAAAUAUAUUGCCCAUUAUUUCUUUCCUUUGGGGUAUUUUCUUUUUCUUAGUCUGUUCCUUUUCUUUCCCCUUCAUAUUCACAAAUCAUGCAAACCUCAACCCACUUGCUUUGUUACUUUCAUACAGCCAGGGAAACCAAUCACCAGCCAGGAGACCUACAAAAUUAAUCAAAAAUUAUCUGAGGAAAAGAGCUUGUUGGCAAUUUUGAGGUAAGUACACACCUGAAAACGUGUGACAGAGCACUAUGAAAAAGUCUGUGGCACAUUUAGGUGGAAGGAGCUUUGCCCAUUAAUGCUGUAAACUCUUCUGUUGUCAUGAGCAGGGGAAAAAUAUCAAAAUGAGGCAGGGAGAGAGCAAAAGAGAGAGGUAUCUCUCCCUAAGAGCUGGCAUUUUCAAUAUGGGCUCUGUGUACAUGCUCCUGCAUCACUUAACCAAAAUGUUCUCCAUCUUUCAGUAUCUUUGCUGGCACUAUUUCCCCAUUUCAGUAUUUAUUUCGCAUGUACAACUCUUUACUGUGGCAAUACUUUUCUAUCAUUUGGUUCAUUUAUUGGGGUUUUAUCCUCACCUGGCAGGCCCUCCACAUCUCAGGUUUUCUCUUAGGUAAAUUCCUACAGUGUAAUGUCUGUCCAUUAGCACAUUUAAAAUCACUUCUUCUCCUGUGCUUAACACUCAUUUAUAGCUUAUGUGCUUCACAUGAAAUGUUCCUUUUUCAGCAGUUCUUUUGAAGAAAGUUUAAAGUAAGUUGCAAAAUGUUUCUUUUUCAUCUAAACAGGGAAAUGAAUUUAAGAAAGGAAGAGAAGAGCCUGAAGGUUUAGCUCUUUCAAAAUUUAAACAGAAUUCAAAACACUGUUGGAACACAUCUGUCAGAGAAAGCAUGAGAGCACCUGCAUUUUAAGAAUGAAUCUCAUCCCUAACUCCCUCUUUGAUAAUAGCUUGCAUGAACAGCACCUUUAAACCACAUCAAUCCCAGAUGCUUUCCAUCCAUCCGGUUAUUAUUUCCCUUGGCAUUGAAGUGCAGCUACCUCUAGACUGAAGCUUCUCAGUGAUGUGCAGCCUACUGUACAGCACCAGGGCUGACAACAAGAAGUCAUUAAAACUAUUCAGCUGAAAUUAUAAAACAAGGGGAAUUUUAAACAAGAAAUUCAAACACCAGCUUGGCCAGGAUAAUGCAUAGAACAUUGUUAACUCUUUAUUUAAAGGCCAGAUGGUUUCAAACACAAAUAAUAAGAAUGAAUUUUGGAUAGGAAAAAAACCUAAGAAUUCAAUGAAAGUUAUAAACUAUCAUGGUUCUGUUUGUAUUUACACAGCAGGAUCUCACCAGCUCCCUGCUUCAGCAUACAUGGCUCUGUACCUGCAGUGAGCAGUGCAUCACAGCUCAGCUGUUUCCCAAUGCUCUGCUUUGCCUUCAGUUAGUUUUCAGUGAUCAAGACAGAGCUUCUAGACACAGCCAUCCAAGUGUGGUGGCUUGGCCAUUAGCACCAAUAAGAGUGUCAGUGGUAAAUAACCACUGCAAACUUCUGAUCAGUAGCACCCAUAGAAAACGUAAUUUCAUUGCUUGAACAGCUAUUUCUUUUCCGUCUUUGCCACACAGCUUUGAAGGCUUUUAUGCAAAGGCAGGAUACAUACUGAGGCCACACAGAUGAAAACAGAGCAUUGACUCAUGUUUCAAGAACACAGAGUAAGGAAAGUUCACACACUUUAGGAAAAAAAACCACAGCACUUUGCAAAUUAAAUUAGUGCUUGGGAGAGAUGAGAUCAGUCAGUGCUCUGGCAUCCUCUUUCACAGGGAUCUGCAGCAGGACAUAAGAGCAGAGCAGUGUUCCUUUAGGGGGAUGCUGAUGAAAUUUCCCACCAAGACACUUCACAGGUUUAGGACAUAUUGAUUAGCAAGGCAAAUUUAAUAAAAAAGAAGGUAAGGAUAUAAAAGAAAGACAUUGUUGAGAAUGUUUGAGUGCUGGAAGUUUGACUGGUUAUUUGUAGAACUUUGUGACAAUUCUGAAAAUUCAUCUUGGCCUGCUGGGAAGCCAAGGAGUCACAUUGGAGAAAAAAUCCAAUUGGUUUUCUGGGCUGCAGGUAUAGGAAAGAGCUGGCUGAGGUAGGCCUACGGUUUACCAAAUAUUAAUCCUCCACAAAACAAAAAUGUUAGUUACCGUAUAAUUAAGGUAGAAAUUAUCCUUAGGUUGAAAAAAUCCUAAACCAAUAAUGUGGAUUACUCAUAAAGUACAAAUGCUGGAAAAAUUGAACAUUUCAGUCCACUUCACCAGUUACUCAGAAUCCCUGGCAAAUUGACUCAGUAAGAGCAAUUUAAAGUGGAGAAGUGCAUAAAAGAGAGGGGUGGAGCAUUGGGCUGGGGCAAUUUUGGGAAACCUGUUCUACAGAAUCACAUCUGCCACUUUAUUUCCUGUGAAAGUCUGAGACCUGACAACACCACAGUGCAAAAUUUCUUAGCCAUAUAUUUAAAAACCUUGCAGAUCAGGAAGACAUUAGUAGAACAAUGAAAAACUUGGCAUCUAAAUAACUCUAUAAAGUAUUUCCAAAACCAAACAGAUAUUUUCCACUCUUCCACAAAACUCAAUAUAAUGUAACUUAUUACACAUUUUAAUGCAGAAAGCCUUACAUAACUUGUCUCCAUUUCAAUAAAGCUGUAAAAUUGGGGGCUGUAUAUAUGACAUGCAAUUUUGAUGAAAUAAAGAAGGGGGAAUAGCACAGCUGGGCUGGAGUCACAUGAGUUAGAAAAAAGAGCGAUUCCACAGGCCUCUUUAAAAAGCUCUCAUCACAAAUUGAACCUAUAACAUUGCCUUUAUGGUACGGAGCCCACAAGCCCUGAAGAUGACAAGCUUGUUUAGGGUGGGAGAUGUUGAAGCAAGAUGCCCAUGACUUGGUCUAGUUUAGUAUUUUACAGAUUGUAACCACCAUAUUCCUGCAAAAACAAAAGCAACAUGAGCUCUCUCAGCAGUACACUAGGAUCUAAACUGACAACAGAGAAAGGAAAUGUUUCUUUUAGCUCUAAAAAUUAGUGCAAAAAGCAUAUGUGAGCUACAUACAAGCUGUGUCACUAAUACCUCAUGCUUCAGUAAAAUGAUCCCAGACUGGUUCACCUCUGAUCUUAGAGGGCGUCAGUUUUCAGAAGACCAACAAGUCAGCAGAUGCUCCUCCUUUCUGCAAUGCCUCAUUAGAAACCAGAUCUUUGCUUCAUGGUGCAUAAAGGCUGUGAAACUUAUAAAGCUCAGAAAUCUCAAGGACUACAAAAUAAACCCACUCCUGUGCAGUGCUAGUACAGGAAAUUCCAAUGUAAGGGAAUGCAACCUCUGUCCAACAUACCACAACUAGCAGAAGAAUGUGUCUUCCCAGGAAAAGAACUUUUAACUGGUUCCUAAAGGGUUUAUAUAUAAGUUGACUUCGUGUUACAGUAACAAGUCCAUUGGUCCAUUCAGCCAUGGAUAUAUUUCAUCUGGCCUUGCUGUGAGAAUAGCAGAGCCAUGGUGGACAGCCUGCUACAUGUCCCACGUGGGCCUGCAAGACCAGGUCCAUGGGCACAUCAAAAGGGUGAUUUGCUUUUCCUGAUGAGCUCAGGGGAGGCAGACAGUGAAAGUCUCUCCCUUUGUGGGAAAUUAGAACUACCCUGAGGCUACCGCCUUCUCUCCUUCCUUGUCAGUAAAAACCAUCAACACCUAACAUAUUCAUUUAACUAAGUAGAAAAUACAAAUUGAAGCAUAUCAUGUAUCAUGAGAAAUGGUCUUCAGUGUCUUCUGCAGUUGGCAAGACUAGGAGUUAGCACAUGUGAUAUUGUCUGUACCUGUGCAACAGUAGCCUGACUACUGAGACCUACGACCCAUCGAUGGACACCCUACAUGGCCUUCAGAGGUAACUAUUCUGGAAAUGUUGGGGGUAAAAAAAGAGAAAAGAUGAGAGCUGGACUCUGAACCUGGCAUAGUUCCAAUAAUGACAGCUUAGGGCCUGCCACUCUCAUCUUUCCUCUGAUAAACAGGUGGCAAGAGAAUGCAAAAAAUGCAAAUGUAGGUCUGAGAGUCCCUCUAAAGUGGUCCAAGCACAGCGGCACCAUGCCCAGAGGCACUGCAGGGUUGGUGUCAGAGUGUGAAUUGGGUGCAGAUCCCAGAGUCCGCUUUUCCUUCCCUUCCCCUCCAGUUCUACCUGUCUCUGUGGCACAGGGCAGGGACAGCAUGGAUGCACCUGGUGCUUUGAAUUUGUUACUUGCAAUAGUUCCUUACAAUGAUGUGCCAACUCAGCUGUAGUAAAUCUAGUCUUCUAGGUUUAAUCACAUUAUCAAUGUUAGCCAGCUAUCACAAAAGCAAAAUCCCCUUCGUUUUUAUACAAUGGCUCUCUCCAUCACCCAAGUGCAAGCUAACAAACUGAGACCAACUGUCACCAACACAUUAAAGCUUGGUUUUUCCAGCUAGAUGAAAGGCACCAAACCUGAGACAAAUAUUUUGUCAACCCUCAUGGGGAAUCUUGUAAAGCCAUCUCCCAUCCUGUAACCGCUCUGUGGUUAAAUAGCAGCUUCAGUUCUCUGAUGUUGCAAUCCAGCACCUUUCACAGGCAUUAAAUUCCCUCUAAAUUAAUUCUAAGGGAAAAAAAAUGCUUUCUGCUCAGAGUUAUUUCUAUUGCCCAGUUAUUUUAUCUGAAUCUGAUAACUAGUUUCCUGCUACAGGGGUUACAUCUUGAAUACUUAAUACCAAUUUGGAAAUUUUUUAGACAAAACAAAAAUACAUCUAAAACAUAACACACAGUUUAGCUAAGUGUAGAACAUUAAUGCAAGGCAUGAUUGUAAAAGCAGCAAAUAAAUUGGAGGAGGGGGGCAGAUUCAAUGGAUAUUUCUCAGGGUUAGUACAUGCUGUAACUGGUCAUUCAGACAUAUCUGGUUCUGAAAGUACAUUCUUUUUAGCAUAAAAAUCCCAGAGUUCAACAAUUAAAAAAAAAAAAAAAAGUUAGAAUGAAGGCUAGAGUGCAGCCAAAGGAUAGUGUUUAACAACCAUUUCAAAAUGAAAUCUAAAUAUGCUUACAUAAUAAAUAAAUGUUGGCUUCCAGGGAAGCUUUGCAACACUUUAAUUCCAUCCUGGACUGGGAUAUAUGGAAUUGUUUUGAAUUUCGUUCAGAGAACUCUGCUAAGCACACAAGCUGAUAUUUUGAUUCAUAUAAUAGAAGAUAUUUUUGCCCUGAAGUAACUCACUGGGCUCUCUUUGGCAAGUUUCUGUUUUUCCUUUUGAGCCACCAUACAAUUUUAUUAAUAGGACUAUACAAUAAUUAGUCUUCUCAUAUUUUCAUCAGCUAUUGAUAAUUCAACUGCCCUAUUUUUUGCUACAUGGAUUCCAGGAUCUACAUUUAAAAAAUCAAUCAGAGUUUCUUCCCCCCAUUACUUAAAAUUCAGCAAACAUAUGGGCUGGCAUAUUGGUCACAAAGUUCACUUUCAUGCUGCUCCUCCAUAGCAAGUUUUUUGGAAGGUUUUCUUAUCCUUCAUAGCCAAACCGGCAGGGCUAGUCCAUGAUCUAUGGCCCGUCACAAACACUGCAUGCACACAUGCAGAAUACCUGUAGAAUACACAAAUUAAGGCUCAACUAUCCCUAACCUAAGGUAUUGCGAGGAGACCUGGUGAGUUGUCUGAAUGGUGCAAUGACGAAAGAGCAGGCGAUUAUAUUGCCAGGAACAGAUGAGGAAAAUGAGAGUUGGACUCUUAUGAAAUUUGAAAUGAUCAGACCUAGCUGAGGUUUGCAGACUCCUGAGAAGAGUAGGCAGGUACCUGAUCCCAAGACACAUUAGGCUUCCAUCUGUAUUUUGUCCUUGUUCAUAUAUAAGAAAAUGAGUAAAAAAGUUCUGUAAAUGGCUAUAUCAAUCACUGGCUGUUAACAAGAAAAAAAUAUAUCAAGAAAUGCCUCUUGACUCUGUACCUUCAGCCUGGUACAGGUAGCCCAUUCCUCACUGCUGGUCCCACCGUUGGCUCCAGCCUGCACGCAGCACCUGGCAGUGCCCUGUCCUCCAGCACUGAGCCUGGAGACCUGGAAACACAGUGGCACCGGUUCCUCAGCAGGGAGACCUGCUCAGUCACUCCUUCCGUGGGCAGCACCAGCAGCUUAGCACACAAAUACCUCUUGAGGAAAGUACAGAUGCACAGUCCUCAGGCUGGUGGGUGCAGCCUGCAGUGACCAUAGGCACUGGUGAUGACAGCCUUUUUAUGCACAGACUUACAGUAUUAAUUUGCAAGCAACAGAUAGAAGCAGGGCUGUCGGCCAACAAGUAAUAUUUUGUAGAGCUGAUGCCAUAUGUCAUAUAUUAAAAGUCUUACAUCAGCAAAACACAUGGUUUAAUGCUAAAUAUGAGGGUGUCCCAAUGAAGCCAGUUGCACCUCUCAUGGUCUUCGAGAGAGCUACCCAAAGAGUUGCACAAGUAGGGCUUAAUUAUUUUACUACAACUUUUCGUUUAUGUUAGCAUUCUUUUUCAGGCUGCAUGUUAAAGCUGAAAGAAAUUACAUGAAAAAAACAAAAGAAAAUUAAAGUAGGAUUCAUAGCAAAGCAAGUAGGUACUUUGAUUGUAAAGGCACUUAGAAUUAGGGAGGAAUUUGAAGGCCAAAGAAAAUGUCCCAUAUUGCUAAAGAGUUUUUGUAAGUUGUCAUUGAGUAUGAUGCUUUUAAGCAAAUCCAUCACUGAAGGCUGUCCUCUGUCACUAAACCCAAAACCCUGUACAAUGUUUUUAUCUAGUCUAGCUUUCCAUGGCUGGUGUAUUUCAAGACAGGAGGGAGAUCUUAUCAAAACAGGAGAGAUUAGAAACAGCAAGCAAACAUGCUCAGCAAACAGAUAUGAAUCUGGAGAGACAUUUUCUCCUGACAAAAGCAUGUCCUACAGGUAUGGGUUUAAAUUAGUUAAAAUGGCUAUUUUAAAAAGUUGAAAAACCAUUCAGUGCAGACUGAAAGGUGAUUCCACACUCUAACUGCUUGUUGGGCAGAGGCAUACGCAAACCCUUUAGUACAGCUGCCCAAGCAGUAGCCCAGGAAGAGUAGCUUUCACAACUUGGCAGCUGGAUGUGGAGAUAAUCAUGUGGAUAUGGGCCCUGACCUCUCUGCUAGAACAGAUAAUAGAACAAAAAAAAAAAAAAAAAAAAAAAA